CAGCCGCCGCGGUAAUACGAAGGGGGCUAGCGUUGCUCGGAAUGACUGGGCGUAAAGGGCGCGUAGGCGGCGAUCAAAGUCAGGCGUGAAAUUCCUGGGCUCAACCUGGGGGCUGCGUUUGAUUCUUGAUUGCUAGAGUGGGGAAGAGGGUCGUGGAAUUCCCAGUGUAGAGGUGAAAUUCGUAGAUAUUGGGAAGAACACCGGUGGCGAAGGCGGCGACCUGGUCCUUGACUGACGCUGAGGCGCGAAAGCGUGGGGAGCAAACAGGAUUAGAUACCCGUGUAGUCCCUGUCUCUUAUAC
Molecule: ribosomal RNA, 301 nt
Filed under: uncultured bacterium
Lineage: Bacteria
Description: partial 16S ribosomal RNA
Rfam family: Bacterial small subunit ribosomal RNA
Source: RNAcentral